Molecule: long non-coding RNA, 2482 nt
Organism: Pelmatolapia mariae (spotted tilapia)
Lineage: Eukaryota; Metazoa; Chordata; Actinopteri; Cichliformes; Cichlidae
Exons: 3
Source: RefSeq, a predicted model, not a curated record
ACACUUUGACUCUUCAGUGCAGUGUGGAGCCUAACAAAGAUCUGUUUUGUGUCCCAGCUGAUCAGCAGGAGGAGAAGAGUCUGACGGAGCAGCAGAGGAACAUUUUCAGCUACUUGGACUCAGCUCAGCCACUACAGAGAAAACAAUGAGCUCAACACAGAAGGACCAACAUGGAGCGAGAAGUCAGCGCUCUCAGGAGGUCGACAAACCUCACAGAAGAAAGAGAGAGAAAACAUACACCUGUGACAAGUGUGGGAAGGAGUUUACUGUGAAGGAUGAACUAAAACAUCAUCAGGUCAUCCACACUGGAGAGAGACCGUUCAGCUGUGACUUGUGUGGAAAGUCUUUUUCCAGGAAGGGUUCCCUAAAAAGACACCAACUCAUCCACAGUGGAGUUAAAGUGUACAGCUGUGAUCAGUGUGGCAGAGCUUUUACUCACAGUACCAGCUUACAGAUUCAUCUAGUUACCCACUCUGGAAUUAAGGCAUACAGCUGUGAUCAGUGUGGCAGAGCUUUUACUCACAGUACCAGCUUACAGAGGCAUCUAGUUACCCACUCUGGAAUUAAGGCAUACAGCUGUGACAAGUGUGGGAAGGAGUUUACUGAGAAGUAUAAACUUAAACAGCAUCAGGUCAUCCACAGUGGAGAGAGACCGUUCAGCUGAGACUUGUGUGGAAAGUCUUUUUCCAGAAAGGAUCACCUAAAACAACACCAAUUCAUCCACAAUGGAGUUAAAGCGUACAGCUGUGAUCAAUGUGGCAGAGGUUUUACUCAAAGAAGCCACUUGCAGAAUCAUCUAGUUACCCACUCUGGAAUUAAGGCGUACAGCUGUGACGAGUGUGGGAAGGAGUUUACUGAGAAGUAUAAACUAAAACAGCAUCAGGUCAUCCACACUGGAGAGAGACCUUUCAGCUGUGACUUGUGUGCAAAGUCUUUUUCCUUGAAGGGUCACCUAAAAAAACACCAACUCAUCCACAGUGGAGUUAAAGCGUACAGCUGUGAUCAGUGUGGCAGAGCUUUUACUCACAGUAGCAGCUUACAGAUUCAUCUAGUUACCCACUCUGGAAUUAAGGCAUACAGCUGUGACAUCUGUGGAAAAACUUUCAGCCUAAGAGGAGCCCGAAAUAGACACCUACGCAUUCACACCAGACAUGAUGUGUACAGCUGUGAACACUGUGGCAAAUACUUUGCUACAGACACACAGUUACAACAACACAUGUUUACCCACACUGAGGAGAGACCUUAUAAAUGUGACCUGUGUGAGAAGACUUUUAAAUCUCCACAUUACCUGAGACGACACCAACAGAUCCACACCAGAAAGAGACUCUACAAGUGCAGUUACUGUGAGCAGAGCGACACAGAUGGAUCCAGUUCUCAACCCUGUCAUCACUGUGGUGGUGGGAAAGAGUUUCAUUGUGACCUCUGUGGAAAAACGUUUAGUCGGCAAGACACCCUAAAAAUACAUCAACGUAAACAUACUGGAGACAAACUGAAAUACUGCAAAGAAUGUGGGAGAAGCUUCACCACAUCAAGUGACUUAAAGCAACAUGAACUGAUUCACAGUGGGGUUAAAAAGCACCUCUGUGAUCAGUGUGGGUCAUCCUUCACCACUGCAUGGAAGCUUAAAUCACACAAACGAGUCCACACAGGAGAGAAAGCGUACAAGUGCAGACACUGUGACAAAAGCUUCUCACGUUCAGGUAGUCGUAACAGGCAUGAACGUGCACACAUGGAAGGAAACUACAGCUGUGACCAGUGUGACAAGAGCUUCAGGAAUCUCAGUUCAUACUCCGAACACAAACGAUCCCACGUUACUAAUAAACUGUUUCACUGUUACCAAUGUGCCCAAACAUUCACCUCAUUGUCUGCUCUGUGCAAACAUCAGCGUGAUCACUCAGGGCUGAAAUCACUCCCAUCACUGGAUCACAGUGAAUCUGAAGAGACAGAAAGAUCCUCUGGUUUCAGUGUCAGACUCAAAAAGCUUGAGAUCAGGCUCCACAGAGUUCAGAUAGAAUCAUUUAAACUUGUGUUGAACUGAACUGGUUGCUGGGCUGAACUUCUACAUAAUACAGAUUUACAUGGGAUCUUAUUUUCUAUGGUUUUACUGAGUCAGUUUUGUCCUUUUUUCUCUGUCCUGGUUUUGCUCAUCUGUAAAUAAUUGAAACUCAGUCAAAUAGUUUAUUGUUCUCCAGCAAAAUGUUUUGGAAACUCAUGUUUAACCUUUAAAACUCUGACAUGUUUUAGCACACAAGGCUUCAUCGGGGAGUUCACUCAUGAUUGGACCAUGAGAAUAAAGGUUUUUAGUUCUUUCAAAGAGAGUCUUGGAGCUGUUUGAUGUUUUUGUUUUUUCUGAAACCACCUGAAAGAAAAACUAUUUUUCUUGCUUUAUGUAGUGUGGAAGUUUUUAAUGUUUCUUUCAUCUGUGAUGUUCUUGAAUGUGUUCACAUGAAGAUGGUACAAAUAAACUGUCCUUUUAGCUUUA